This 460-nucleotide ribosomal RNA is filed under the name uncultured bacterium. RNAcentral's name for it is "partial 16S ribosomal RNA". It matches the Rfam family "Bacterial small subunit ribosomal RNA", at positions 338 to 795 of the family's 1533-position model. The record is from RNAcentral.
CCUACGGGAGGCAGCAGUGAGGAAUAUUGGUCAAUGGGCGCGAGCCUGAACCAGCCAAGUAGCGUGAAGGAUGACUGCCCUACGGGUUGUAAACUUCUUUUAUAAGGGAAUAAAGUGAGGCACGUGUGCCUUUUUGUAUGUACUUUAUGAAUAAGGAUCGGCUAACUCCGUGCCAGAAGCCGCGGUAAUACGGAGGAUCCGAGCGUUAUCCGGAUUUAUUGGGUUUAAAGUGAGCGUAGAUGGGUUGGUAAGUCAGUUGUGAAAGUUUGCGGCGCAACCGUAAAAUGGCAAUUGAUACUGGCAGCCUUGAGUACAGUUGAGGUAGGCGGAAUUCGUGGUGUAGCGGUGAAAUGCUUCGAUAUCACGAAGAACUCCGAUUGCGAAGGCAGCUUACUAAACUGCAACUGACAUUGAUGCUCGAAAGUGUGGGUAUCAAACAGGAUUAGAUACCCUAGUAGUC